GUCUCAGUUCAGAUUGUAGGCUGAAACUCGCCUAUAUGAAGUCGGAAUUGCUAGUAAUCGCGGAUCAGCAUGCCGCGGUGAAUACGUUCCCGGGCCUUGUACACACCGCCCGUCACACCAUGAGAGUCGAUAACACCCGAAGCCUGUAGUCUAACCUUAGGGGGGACGCAGUCGAAGGUGGGAUUGAUAAUUAGGGUGAAGUCGUAACAAGGUACC
This 216-nucleotide ribosomal RNA is filed under the name uncultured bacterium. Its description in RNAcentral is "partial 16S ribosomal RNA". It matches the Rfam family "Bacterial small subunit ribosomal RNA", at positions 1285 to 1500 of the family's 1533-position model. The record is from RNAcentral.